GUGCUUCCCGACCUCCCAUGCGCCUGCAGCCCCCAACCACCCUCAAGGCCCCAUCACGUUGGCCCUCCAUUCUCCAGACUCUCCAGCCACCCUUUCUCCGCAGCCCUUCACGCUUCCCUUGUCCCUGGGGGCCUUACGUGGGCAGGUUGUACAGGGGCGUCAUACGGAAACAGGCCACGACUGCCCGCCGGCGCUGUUUGGACAAAAGCUUGUGCCACACGGCCUUCUUAGACUUGUAGUAGAGCACGGCUGACACUUCCUGGACUCUGCGCACGAUUUUCUCGGGGUCAUCGGCGUCCUCCUCGCGACCCGGGACGCCCCGGUACAGAGCCAUCUGCCAGCGCAGAGACGGGGAGCCUUCGACCUGAAGGGAGGAAGAAGGAGUGGCCGGCGUGAGGGACCCUUCCCACAGUGUCCGCCGGAUGUCCCCUUUCCGUUUUUGGGAGGACUCAAUGGAGGAAGGAGGCAUACCUUUCCCUGAAGGUGAAGGUUGUUGUGCAGAAAUUCCCGGACCUCCUCAUCUGUGUCUUUCUGGGGAGACAGAGCCAGGCUGGGUCACUCUGGAGGUCCCAUCCUCCUUCCUGACCCACAACCCUUUCCUUCCAGGCCCAGCACCCCAGGAACUGAAGAGGUUUUUCUGGGGUGGGGGUGGGGGUCUGAGAGAAACAAAAGGAUGCAGAGGUUGACGGGGUCAGAAGGGGUCCUAGAGGGGCCGGAGGGUCACAGAGUCACCUUGAAGAUACAGUAAGGAUUCGAGGGGCCUCGUGGAGGUCUGGGAAGAGGCAAAGGGUGACAAGAGGAUCUCAUCAAAGGUCAAAUAUGGCCAAAGAGGGAUGACUGGGGGGUCAGAGUGGGGCAGGGAGUCUUUGAAGAUCAGAAGGGGUCAGCAGAGGUCAUGGGGGAUCACGUAGGUCAACGGAGUCACUGGUUACACAGGGGCCAAAGGGGGCAUCAGCAGGGUGGGGGUUCACUGGGGUUCUAGGACGGGGAGCCCUCAAGGACCAAGGUGAGGGGUCCAUGGAGCCCUGGAGGGCUCUCUGGCGUCCUGGCAGGACUCAGCAGUCCUGGGAGGUGCCUGAGGUUCUGAGGGAAGGGGUGUCCUGGUGGUAGCAGGGGAGAAGUCGGUGGUCUUUAGGGGUCCAGGGGGUUAGUAGGUUGUCAGGGUGUUGGUGUGGUCCUGGGGGGAGGGCUAUAGGGGUCUUGGGGCAGAAUCCUGGGAGGGUUCCUUAGAGUCCCUGAAGCUGGAAAGGAUCGGAGAGGAGGGAGAUUGUCCUUGUUGUCCCACACAAGGGGUAAGUGGGGUCCCGGGAGGCCUCCUUGAUAUCCCAGCAAGCUUAAGAGGUUCUACAGCCCGGGUAUUUUGGUCUCCAGGACAGUUGAGACCUCAGAGGUUUGGGUACAGUCCCGGGCUUGGGGUUCAUGGAUCCUGGGGAGUUAUGCAGGGUCGCAGGGCUCCCUGAGCCCCUGAGAGUCUUGGGGGCUUAGUUGGGCUUCAACAGGGCCCAGGUGUCAGCAGGGUCCUGAAGGAAAGGGAUGGUGAGCCAAGGGCUCAGCAGGAACCCAGAGGUUCAGUCUUGGCAGGGAGGGAAGGAGGGGUCAUGAGGGUCUCAGUAGGUCCCAAGGGGCUUGAAGGGGCCUUGGUGGAGGGUUCAGAGGAUCUCAGGGGCUCAUCUUGUUGGGGGGACUCUCAGGGUCUCAGCAGGUUUGGCAUGGUCCGGUGGGGGGGCAGUGGGGUCCUGCAGUCCUCAUGCGGGUCCCAGGGGUCCUAGAGCUUUUCUAGGUUUCAGUGAGGGCUCUUAGGUCUGUGGUGCCCUGGCAAUAUCUUGAACGGGGUCCUCAGGGCAUCCCAGGGGCACAGUGAGUCCUCAGCAUCCCGGAAAAGAACUCAGUGGGGUCUGAAGGGAAGGCUCC
This 1911-nucleotide long non-coding RNA is filed under the name Homo sapiens (human). RNAcentral describes it as "HSALNT0397887". Lineage: Eukaryota; Metazoa; Chordata; Mammalia; Primates; Hominidae. The record is from RNAcentral.